CAGGGUAUGCUUGUUUUUGCAGGAAAUGAACAAAAAGUGUGGGUGCCCCCAAGGUGUGUACUACCAUGGAAUGGGAGAUUGGAGGGACACAUGGAUCCCAACCGUGGGCCUGGUUCCCCCAGUAUGAGCUGAAUACGAAGACAGAACAAACCACCAACCGGCAAUUGAAGUAAAUGAUAGCUCCUUACAAAUACAGAGGACAAAAUAAAAGUGACUUAAUUAUAAAAACACAGUGACACAAAGUGAACCGGGUUCUAUAAAUUACCAUGGAAAGUGGUGAGCCAACGAUUUGGCAGAACAAAACCCUGAGGAUAUGCAAACAAAAGGGACUAUGGAAUUUGCAAUUGCAGAUUAAAAUUGAAGAAGAAAACAUUUGAGUUGCAAAUACCGUAUUAAAAGUGGACACUGCUUAUGACUGCUGUAUGCAACAGUUUUUCAGGCCCGAGGUGAUAAAUAAAAAAUUGUUUGCUCUAUUUAACCAUUGAA
This is a long non-coding RNA of Homo sapiens (human), 486 nucleotides long. Ensembl annotates it as long intergenic non-protein coding RNA 2303. Lineage: Eukaryota; Metazoa; Chordata; Mammalia; Primates; Hominidae. The record is from Ensembl.